GGAAGUGGCUUUCACAGGAAAAAAAAGGGAAUUUUGGGUGGGAAACAGGAAUUUUGGGGGGGGUUGAAUGGAAUUUUGCUGGAAAAACGGGAAUUUGGGCUGGAAAAUUUGGAGAUUUUGGGGGGAAAAAGAUUUGAAUUUUGGGGUUCGGGGCUGAAAUUUUGGGGUUCCUUGUGAGGUUUUGGGUUUGGAUUUUUUUUUUUGGUUCCUGGUUGGAACAUUGGUGGUUCCAGGUCAGGAUUUUGGGGUUCUGAAUUUGGAUUUAGGGUGUUCCAGGUCGAGAUUUGGGGGUUCUGUGUUUGAAUUUUGGGGUUCCUGGGUGAGAUUUUUCAGUGCCUGGUUGGGACUUUGGGGUUUUGUGUUUGAAUUUUGGGGUUCUGGGCUGGAAUUUUGAGGUUCCAGGUUGAGAUUUUGGGGUUCCAGGCUGGGAAUUCGGAGUUCCUUGAUGGGAUUUUGGGGUUCCAGGUUGGGAUUUUUGGGUUCUCUGUUUCAAUUUUGGGGUUCCAGGCUGGGAUUUUGGAGUUCUCUGUUUGAAUUUUGGAGUUCCUGGCUGGGAUUUUGGGGUUCUGUGGUUGAAUUUUGGGGUUCUCUGUUGGGAUUUUGGGGUUCCAGGUCGGGAUUUUGGGGUUCCAGGCUGGGAUUUUGGGGUUCUGUGGUUGAAUUUUGGGGUUCUCUGUUGGGAUUUUGGGGUUCCAGGUCGGGAUUUUGGGGUUCCAGGCUGGGAUUUUGGGGUUCUGUGGUUGAAUUUUGGGGUUCUCUGUUGGGAUUUUGGGGUUCCAGGUCGGGAUUUUGGGGUUCCAGGCUGGGAUUUUGGGGUUCUGUGGUUGAAUUUUGGGGUUCUCUGUUGGGAUUUUGGGGUUCCAGGUCGGGAUUUUGGGGUUCCAGGCUGGGAUUUUGGGGUUCUGUGGUUGAAUUUUGGGGUUCUCUGUUGGGAUUUUGGGGUUCCAGGUCGGGAUUUUGGGGUUCCAGGCUGGGAUUUUGGGGUUCUGUGGUUGAAUUUUGGGGUUCUCUGUUGGGAUUUUGGGGUUCCAGGUCGGGAUGUCAGGCUCCUCCCCCAGCUCCUCUCUGUAAUAUUCGGCGUCGUCCUCGUCCGACGGCUCCGCCUCACCUGCCUCAGGUGCGCCGGGGUCCUCGACGUCACUGUCACCUGUGGGGUCACCUGGGCCACCUGCAGGGGCACCUGGGCCACCUGCUGCCCGGCCCAUCCCGGCCAGGCUGCGCUCCCUGGGAGAGACAGGUCCUGCUCCUGUUUCCGGCGCCGCUCCGCCCUCACCUGCAGCCGCUGCUCCUUCCGGGCCAGCAGCUCCCGCAGCUCCUCCUCACCUUUGGGGGCUGGGGGAACACCUGAGAUCAGCUGGGUGCACCUGAGAUACACCUGGGCACACCUGAGAUACACCUGAGAUCAGCUGGGUGCACCUGAGAUGCACCUGGGCACACCUGAGAUACACCUGAGAUCAGCUGGGUGCACCUGAGAUGCACCUGGGCACACCUGAGAUACACCUGAGAUCAGCUGGGUGCACCUGAGAUGCACCUGGGCACACCUGAGAUACACCUGAGAUCAGCUGGGUGCACCUGAGAUGCACCUGGGCACACCUGAGAUACACCUGAGAUCAGCUGGGUGCACCUGAGAUGCACCUGGGCACACCUGAGAUACACCUGAGAUCAGCUGGGUGCACCUGAGAUGCACCUGGGCACACCUGAGAUACACCUGAGAUCAGCUGGGUGCACCUGAGAUCACCUGGGCACACCUGAGAUACACACCUGGGAUACACCUGUCCCCUCACCUGUCCCAGGUGUGUCACUCACCCAGGCCGUGGUACAGGACGUCGCCCUGGCCCAGCCCCUCCUCCACCUUCAGCAGCUGCAGCGUCAGACGGGGCCCGAUCUGGGAGAGGGGACAGAGGGACAGAGGGACAGACAGAGGGACACGGGGACA
This 1936-nucleotide long non-coding RNA is filed under the name Ficedula albicollis (Collared flycatcher). RNAcentral describes it as "lncRNA (ENSFALG00000025148.1)". Lineage: Eukaryota; Metazoa; Chordata; Aves; Passeriformes; Muscicapidae. The record is from RNAcentral.